This 253-nucleotide ribosomal RNA is filed under the name uncultured bacterium. Its description in RNAcentral is "partial 16S ribosomal RNA". It matches the Rfam family "Bacterial small subunit ribosomal RNA", at positions 524 to 776 of the family's 1533-position model. The record is from RNAcentral.
GACGGGGGAUGCAAGCGGUAUCCGGAAUCACUGGGAGUAAAGCGUCUGUAGGUGGUGAUGCAAGUCAGUGGUGCAAAACUCUGGCUCAACCGGAGGAAAGCCAGUGAAACUGCAUGACUAGAGUGUGGGAGAGGUAGAAGGAAUUCCCUGAGUAGCGGUGAAAUGCGUAGAUACAGGGAAGAACACCGGAGGCGAAAGCGUUCUACUGGAACACAACUGACACUGAGAGACGAAAGCUCGGGGAGCGAAUGGG